UACGUAGGGGGCGAGCGUUAAUCGGAAUUACUGGGCGUAAAGCGUGCGCAGGCGGUUUGUCGAGUCCGAUGUGAAAGCCCCGGGCUCAACCUGGGAAUGGCAUUGGAAACUGGCGGACUCGAGUGUGGCAGAGGGGGGUGGAAUUCCGCGUGUAGCAGUGAAAUGCGUAGAGAUGCGGAGGAACACCGAUGGCGAAGGCAGCACCCUGGGCUAACACUGACGCUCAGGCACGAAAGCGUGGGGAGCAAACAGG
This 253-nucleotide ribosomal RNA is filed under the name uncultured bacterium. Its description in RNAcentral is "partial 16S ribosomal RNA". It matches the Rfam family "Bacterial small subunit ribosomal RNA", at positions 524 to 776 of the family's 1533-position model. The record is from RNAcentral.